Molecule: ribosomal RNA, 254 nt
Filed under: uncultured bacterium
Lineage: Bacteria
Description: partial 16S ribosomal RNA
Rfam family: Bacterial small subunit ribosomal RNA
Source: RNAcentral
CACGUAGGGGGCAAGCGUUGUCCGGAUUUAUUGGGCGUAAAGAGCUCGUAGGCGGCUUAGUAAGUCGGGUGUGAAACCUCCAGGCUCAACCCGGGGACGCCACCCGAUACUGCUGUGGCUAGAGUCCGGUAGGGGAGCGUGGAAUUCCUGGUGUAGCGGUGAAAUGCGCAGAUAUCAGGAGGAACACCAGCGGCGAAGGCGGCGCUCUGGGCCGGAACUGACGCUGAGGAGCGAAAGCGUGGGGAGCGAACAGG